Molecule: long non-coding RNA, 205 nt
Filed under: Elaeis guineensis (African oil palm)
Lineage: Eukaryota; Viridiplantae; Streptophyta; Magnoliopsida; Arecales; Arecaceae
Description: long non-coding RNA (EGUI_LNC016682)
Source: RNAcentral
CUUAUUUUCUCAUUCACCUUCGACUGUCGCUGCCACCUCGACUGCCUCCAAUCAAACCCUGCUGCUUUGACCGUACCACUGCAGCCGCCUCCUCCUCUAAAUCCAACCGCCCUAUCCUCCAAUUUCAAUUCUGAUGGCCUGAAGCGGCCUGAGCGGAGAAUAUGUGGGAGGAGGAGGGGGGAGGCAACUGCUGGCAACAAUGGGG